CAGGAUUAUAACAAUACAACUUAGAUAUAUGUAGGUAGUGUUGAUGAGAUAGAUACUUCUGGAAGAACUAAAAUUGAGACCGCCACACAUUUUGUGCAAUCACUUUCAUCCCCUUUUUGGUGCCUAACUUCUUUCCGUUUAAAGGCUGUUUGGAGGCUGUCAAACACGGGGAAAAAAAACCCUGCCAUACUAUACCAAAUAUAUUUGUGAUUAGGAUUGAAAAAGAUCGUCACAUCAUAGAUUAACAGAAUUCAGUCAUGGAUCCUGCUGUAUUAGAAGAGAUAGAAAAACUAUGUGACACGGCGGAUCAGGAAUGUGACGAUUCUGCUUUUUUGGUUUUUGAUAUCGGCGAUACUGUCGAAAGGGUUAAGCAAUGGAGAUUAGCAAUGCCUCGUGUAGAUCCUUAUUAUGGUA
Argiope bruennichi is the source of this 414-nucleotide long non-coding RNA. RefSeq lists it as uncharacterized. NCBI's taxonomy places the organism in Eukaryota, Metazoa, Arthropoda, Arachnida, Araneae, Araneidae. The transcript has 5 exons. The record is from RefSeq and is a predicted model, not a curated record.